GACGAACGCUGGCGGCGUGCUUAACACAUGCAAGUCGAACGGUAAGGCCCUUCGGGGUACACGAGUGGCGAACGGGUGAGUAACACGUGGGUGAUCUGCCCUGCACUUCGGGAUAAGCCUGGGAAACUGGGUCUAAUACCGGAUAGGACCACUGCCUGCAUGGGUGGUGGUGGAAAGCUUUUGCGGUGUGGGAUGGGCCCGCGGCCUAUCAGCUUGUUGGUGGGGUGAUGGCCUACCAAGGCGACGACGGGUAGCCGGCCUGAGAGGGUGACCGGCCACACUGGGACUGAGAUACGGCCCAGACUCCGACGGGAGGCAGCAGUGGGGAAUAUUGCACAAGGGGCGCAAGCCUGAUGCAGCGACGCCGCGUGAGGGAUGACGGCCUUCGGGUUGUAAACCUCUUUCAGCACCGACGAAGCGCAAGUGACGGUAGGUGCAGAAGAAGGACCGGCCAACUACGUGCCAGCCGCCGCAGUAA
This 478-nucleotide ribosomal RNA is filed under the name uncultured bacterium. Its description in RNAcentral is "partial 16S ribosomal RNA". It matches the Rfam family "Bacterial small subunit ribosomal RNA", at positions 28 to 523 of the family's 1533-position model. The record is from RNAcentral.